GGUGUUUCAUGAAAUUUUUGUUACAAGUCAAAUAAGAGAACUACAUACCAAGUCUGUAAUCUUGGUAGAAACAGAGUCUCCACUGUAUGAUAUGUGCAGACCAGCAAACACCUUUCCAACUAUCAACCACCUCACUCCCUCUGAGGCGAUUCUUCAGUUACCAUGAAGAAGUUGUAAACUGGAAUGGGAGUAGAAACAGUCCAUAUUCAAGUUACCAGCAUCACUGGUCUCAAAGGACUUGGCUGUGUCGUAGCCACUGUCAGAUGAAGUGCAUAUAUUUGGUGAUUUGAUAGGU
Apodemus sylvaticus (European woodmouse) is the source of this 295-nucleotide small nucleolar RNA. Lineage: Eukaryota; Metazoa; Chordata; Mammalia; Rodentia; Muridae. The record is from RefSeq and is a predicted model, not a curated record.